UACGGUUGCAAAGCUGAAACUUAAAGGAAUUGACGGAAGGGCACCACCAGGAGUGGAGCCUGUGGCUUAAUUUGACUCAACACGGGAAACCUCACCCGGUCCGGACACUGGAAGGAUUGACAGACUAAAGCUCUUUCUUGAUUCAGUGGGUGGUGGUGCAUGGCCGUUCUUAGUUGGUGGAGUGAUUUGUCUGGUUAAUUCCGAUAACGAACGAGACUCUCGCCUGCUAAAUAGUUUUCCAUACGUUACUUUAUGGAACCUAAAACUUCUUAGAGGUACAAGUGGCGUUUAGCCACACRAAACAGAGCAAUAACAGGUCUGUGAUGCCCUUAGAUGUCCGGGGCCGCACAUGUGCUACAAUGAAUGCAUCAACGUGUAUCAGCCUCGCCCGAAAGGGUUGGGGAAUCCGCUGAACGGCAUUCUCAGUAGGGAUUGGGGAUUGCAAUUAUUUCCCAUGAACACGGAAUUCCCAGUAGGCGCCAGUCAUCAGCUGGCGUCGAUUGAGUCCCUGCCCUUUGUACACACCNNNNNNNNNNAAUAGAUACGAUAGGUGGAUGUCCGCGAGGGUUGCUUCUCGGUAGAAAGAUACAUACAAAAAGUAAAAGAGAAGCCGCCGAGUGGCGAGUUGUUGAAAGUAGCCCAGCGAAACAACGGAACAAACCCUCGGAAUAAGAAAGAAAAGACGUGCUGUACGAAAAAGUGCAACG
Molecule: ribosomal RNA, 707 nt
Filed under: Tridacna maxima
Lineage: Eukaryota; Metazoa; Mollusca; Bivalvia; Cardiida; Cardiidae
Description: bacterial SSU rRNA
Source: RNAcentral